Molecule: ribosomal RNA, 616 nt
Filed under: uncultured bacterium
Lineage: Bacteria
Description: bacterial SSU rRNA
Rfam family: Bacterial small subunit ribosomal RNA
Source: RNAcentral
CCUACGGGAGGCAGCAGUAGGGAAUCUUCCGCAAUGGACGAAAGUCUGACGGAGCAACGCCGCGUGAACGAUGAAGGCCUUCGGGUCGUAAAGUUCUGUUGUUAGGGAAGAACAAGUGUUAGUUGAAUAAGCUGGCACCUUGACGGUACCUAACCAGAAAGCCACGGCUAACUACGUGCCAGCAGCCGCGGUAAUACGUAGGUGGCAAGCGUUGUCCGGAAUUAUUGGGCGUAAAGCGCGCGCAGGCGGUUUCUUAAGUCUGAUGUGAAAGCCCCCGGCUCAACCGGGGAGGGUCAUUGGAAACUGGGAAACUUGAGUGCAGAAGAGGAAAGUGGAAUUCCAAGUGUAGCGGUGAAAUGCGUAGAGAUUUGGAGGAACACCAGUGGCGAAGGCGACUUUCUGGUCUGUAACUGACGCUGAGGCGCGAAAGCGUGGGGAGCAAACAGGAUUAGAUACCCUGGUAGUCCACGCUGUAAACGAUGAGUGCUAAGUGUUAGAGGGUUUCCGCCCUUUAGUGCUGAAGUUAACGCAUUAAGCACUCCGCCUGGGGAGUCGGUCGCAAGCUGAAACUCAAAGGAAUUGACGGNUUGAGAGNGCGAGCGACGACGAGGAGAGG